GCCAGUGUGGUAUAGUGGUUUGAAUGUUGGGCUUUGACUCUGGAGAUCAGGGUUCAAGUCCCCGCUUAGCCA
This is a non-coding RNA of Phrynosoma platyrhinos (Desert horned lizard), 72 nucleotides long. NCBI's taxonomy places the organism in Eukaryota, Metazoa, Chordata, Lepidosauria, Squamata, Phrynosomatidae. The record is from the annotation of a GenBank genome assembly.